GAUGAACGCUGGCGGCGUGCCUAAUACAUGCAAGUCGAGCGAACAGACGAGGAUCUUGCUCCUCUGACGUUAGCGGCGGACGGGUGAGUAACACGUGGAUUACCUACCUAUCUUCCUGGCAUAACUUCGGGACACCGGAGCUAAUACCGCCUAAUAUAUUCAACCGCAUGGUUCAAUAGUGAAAGACGGUUUUGCUGUCACUUAUAGAUGGAUCCGCGCCGCAUUAGCUAGUUGGUAAGGUAACGGCUUACCAAGGCAACGAUGCGUAGCCGACCGGAGGGGGUGAUAGGCCACACUGGACCGGAGACACGGCACAGACCAGAACGGGAGGCAGGAGAGGGGAAACGUACGCAAGGGAAGAAAGGCUGACGGAGAACAGCCAAGUGAGUGAUGAAGGGCUUCGGAUAGUAAUACUCUGCUAUUAGGGAGGAACAAAUGUGUAAGUAACGAGGCACGUCUUGAAGGUACCUAAUCAGAAAGCAACGGCUAACUACGUG
RNAcentral lists this ribosomal RNA (497 nucleotides) under uncultured bacterium. RNAcentral describes it as "partial 16S ribosomal RNA". It matches the Rfam family "Bacterial small subunit ribosomal RNA", at positions 28 to 507 of the family's 1533-position model. The record is from RNAcentral.